GUCAGCCCACCAGGAAAACAAAUAGAAAAUCACCGAGGAGGAAGAGGAAGCAGCAAAGAAACAGAGCACUAAGCAUCCCCCGCGGAGCCAGACGGGUGGGUAUGUUGUCUCUAGCUAUACCUUCUUUCCUAGCAUUGCUUUUCUUUCUUCUGCGAUUGUAGCACCACAGUGUGUGUACCCGUGUAAGGGGUUACUUUGCCGCACAAAGCGUGUGCCGCACACGAUGAACGUACGCUCACGUGUCUGUUGCACGCCCAUCGCUAAAUGACGGCUUGCGCCUUGUGCUCUUAUGUCAGCUUUCUGGUGGCCGCAGGAGGCCUGGUAACUAGUGGCCCAGCGCCAAGACCACCAGCCACAGCUCAGGCUGCGUUGCGCCGUCUGGCUUGUGUAGUGCACAAGCAGGACGUGGCAUUAGUUGGCCUCGUGGGUUUCUGAGCUGGUGCUGGGAGCACUAAAGCCGGAUUUACUGCGUCGCUGAACUACGCAAAGCCUGAAAGAGCGUGUGGUGCGUUUUGAAUUGCUGACAGACUUGGAUGUAGGGAAUGACUUGUAAGAAACUAGCGCAAUAGCGGGCGUUGUGUUCCCUUACAGUCCUCUUGGGCUGGUUAUACUUUGUCCUCCGAGAUCACCGGGGACACCCGCCCACUGCUAGGGAGCUGCACCUUGGCUCCUCUUAUUUGGGAGUCUGUACUUGUCGUUCAAAAUAAAGAUAAGCCAAACAAAAGGCUUCAUUAAGCAAAAAAUGGUUGCUUUUGCAAACUGAGGGCAGAUAUUGUAAGAUGCCGCAAAGUAGUAUAAAAGGGUUAAAAAAGUCAACCCUUUUUUAAAGGAGUGGCCAAAUUGGGGAGAUGUAUGUUAUGUCUGGACAUGCUCAGGGCCUUAUUCUUCUACUUUGUCUGCAGGCAACGUGCCCAUCAAAAUUAUCUCCUGGGCUGAGCACAAAGAGGAAGAGCCAACAACUUAUUAAGGAGUCUCUGUUAUUUCUGCUGAGAAAGGUAGUGGUGCUUUUCCUUUUGUUGGAAUGUUUCUCAGGCAGUUCUCUUCCGAAGGCAUUCACUAGAGUGAAUUAGAAGGCACUCAGAUACCGUGGUACCUGGCUCAGCAGUCCUGAAGACAGACUAUGAUUCAGUGGGAUUAACCAGCAACAUGUACCAUUUUAGUUCAAGUGAAUAAAUGAUAAAGCCUCACAAACUAAAAGCUUAAA
Molecule: long non-coding RNA, 1204 nt
Filed under: Struthio camelus australis
Lineage: Eukaryota; Metazoa; Chordata; Aves; Struthioniformes; Struthionidae
Description: lncRNA (ENSSCUG00000003187.1)
Source: RNAcentral